AAUGGUGCCGAUUCCUGCAAACACCAACUUAAAUCUAAAUUUAUCUUAGAAAACCUAAUUUUAAUUUAGUUUAGCAAAAAGUGCAAUUCUGGCUUUAUGGUCGUCUAAAUUUAAAAUAUUUUAUCAGGAUGUUUGACACGCUUAAAUUUAAUAGAACGUCUACGAGGUCUAUGGUCAACCAGCUGGUGUCGUUUUUUUCGUAAAGAAUUGGUAAAGAAGAAUGAAUGGAAGUGAGUGAAUGAAAUCGUCAUUUGAACAAAAAAAAUACAUGUUUUUCUUAUAAUUUCGUACGAAGGAAUACAAAAUCGUAAUUUAUGUGUGUUUUAGCAGCAAAUACAAUAAAUAAAUGCAAUAAAACAUUUUUCUAUGAAUUUUAAAACAUACAUCUGGCAUUAUUCUAAACCAUAAAAAACACAGCGUCAAGAUCAUACUUAAAAAAAAAAAACGUGUUGAGAUUAGGUAUCGUUAGGUUUUCAAAUCAAAAAUACUUAAUAAAACACAAAAAUGACUAAAUAAAAGGACGUCGAUGAAGAGGAAGACCAAGGCGGAACUAGUAAAAGUGGAAGUUGUGUUGUAUCAGAACGACGGAACUCGCUGUGAAUGCAUAUUAAAAGUCCUCAACCAACAAGACUCCUAUCUUCUUCUUCGUCGUUCCCUCACUGCUGAGGAUCGCGACCACAGGUUAUGGUUUUCCACUCGGUACGGCUAUAUGCAGCGUGCACCGCCCUCUGUAUGCUGCCGCCCACCGUCUUCUUCACGAUGUCAGACCACCUCGUAGGCGCCCUUCCUCGCGCACGUUUGCCAUCCAUUUGCCCAACGAUGAUCUGCUUCUCCAGACUGUGCUUCGGAGACCGCAUAAUAUGUCCGAAGAAGCUUAGGGCACGAUUCCGGCAUAUUGAGGAGAGCCGCGUCGUGAUCUUGAGCUCUUUUAAUAUGGACUCAUUCGUACACGUAAAUAGCCUUAAAUUACCAAGUAGAGAAAGUCCAGCAUGAGGUGAGCACGAAGUUUUGAAGACAGGAGUGAUUGUAUUAGAUUUCCUCCUGAGCAGUUGCACUACAAAUUUAGUGAUGAAGAGGCAAUACUUGACAGAAACCUUAAGUGGGAUGACAUAAUUAUAAAGAAAAUCAAUAAGAGGAUGAACUAUUUUAAUGUUUAUAAAACAAUAGUAUGGAAGAAUUUUGAUGCAUCUUGGAGCAAUGGCAACAUAUUUGGGAGUUGUGAGUGACAACGAGCAGAUUACAUAACAAUGGGAGGAUAACAAGGGCCUUAACUGAAAAAACUGGGAAUGUUCCCAAAUAAACCUCACAGAU
RNAcentral lists this long non-coding RNA (1311 nucleotides) under Pectinophora gossypiella (pink bollworm). Its description in RNAcentral is "uncharacterized LOC126370496". Lineage: Eukaryota; Metazoa; Arthropoda; Insecta; Lepidoptera; Gelechiidae. The record is from RNAcentral.